UGCACCGCCGUCGUACGAUCCUCCCGGUAUCCGGCGACGUCGUCGAUGAAACCGUUCUCAUCAUCGCCCUCGUGUUCAACCUCGUCGUCGUUGUUCAGCACCGCAUCAUGUCAAUUGACAUCGACGUUUGACAAUUUUCGAGGCCCCCGCGAUUCGCGAUAUUCGCGCGAUUUUGCAUCGCCGCUGCGAUUCCAUUCCGAUUUUCUCAUUGCACAUUUUUCAUUCUCGGAUAAAUUGGAUUCCUUUCGUUUCACCCUUUUCGAAUCAUGACUCAACAAGGAUAUCCGUGGCUCGAGAGUUUUUUAUUUAAUCCCAAUAAACAAUAACGAAUAUCGUUUAAACUGUAAAAUUCAGUUUGCCCGCGAUGCGGUCGAGUGCUCGAAAAUCGCGUCGCCCUUGUUCCUUGCAACGACGCAGCCCAUUCAACGACGACUCCAGCGGGGCGUACCGAGGCGCAAUUCAUUAUGCAGAAAUGCGAAGAACGCCUCGGCUAAAAUUUUUAAAACAUUUAAAACAUAAAUAUACUCGCACACGCGCGAGCAAAUACUCGUUUUGAAGAACUUUGUUCGAUAAGCACAUAUGACACAGCUGCAAUUUUCUCGAAAUAUGACUCGAUGAAUAUGGAAAGAAGAAACUCGAGGAAACAACGUGCCGCGGAAGAUCCUCGUGGGAGGCUGAACACCUCGAAAAAACAGAGAUCCAUACGCAAGAAUAACAAGUCCAGGAUUCUCUCGAUACCGUUCGACUUUGUCGCGAUUGAUGAAGUACGAGAGUUCAAGGGGGAGGAGGAAAGGCGAAUGGGCUUAAGAAAAAUAUCACUUCGGUCACAAACGGCACGAGGCGGGGGAGAGACAACGAUUAAGAAGGAGCCUUUCAUCACGCUUUCACAUUGUUGAAAAAGUAUUUGAAGGAAUCAAACGUCAAUUUAUUUUCACGUGUGUAAAACCGUAUGCGUUGAGAAUUAAUGAAUAAUAAUUUUGUAUGAGAAGAUUUUGAAAACUUUCAUCAAAUACGAACGAAUUCACGAAACGAGACGAAGAAAAACGUUCGAGCACGGUGAGUGGAGUUUUUGCAUAAUUUUUCCACAGCGUUUCACUACGAUUGCAUCCAAUCGAACAAUUUAUCGCCGUUGAACAAUCAGUUAAACCGAAACAUACAAUUUAGAGGCACACAAAAUCAUCGAAUUUCAAGAUUUCGUGGAUGAAUUAUUUAACAGAGACCGAUGGAAUCGAGAAAAAAGCUCCUCGACAUUCAGAUUUUUUACUCGAGCCGUUUUUUCGUGAGAGCAAUUUGAAAAAAAAACCCCCGGAAAUCGUAAAAAAAAACAUUUAAAAAGUCCAAACAAUUUUACAUGGAGACGUACGAAACUCGAACGAUCCCGUUGUCUUUACGUCAUUCGCCAUGCCUAAAAUUAAAACGAUUAAAAAUGAUACAACGAGAAGAAGUUAUGGACAAAGUGACACUCUGAAUAUUGUGAUUGAAAAAAGUUGUCAUGUAUAGUAUAUUUAUAUUAAAUUCGUUCCACAAAAUGCCGUCUACAAAAUGUGUAUUUACAAUCAUAAAUAAUUUUCCAUAUACUCAAGUACGCAUAUUUAUGUGUGGUAUAUGUGUAUUUUGUUGUGUAUAUCAACUUUGAAAAACGUUCGGUUACUCCGAAAAGUCGAUAACAUGUGAAUUUUGAUCGGUAUACUUGUAAAUGUGUGUGUGUGUUGUAUAUACGAGUUAAACGUAACGUAGUAAAAUAUAUAUUUCCUCGACUCGUCGAAACGUAACUCCAUUUCAUUUUCUUAGGAAUCAAUACUCGUUUAUUCUUUCGUGUGCACGGAAAAAUAAGUGUUUUUCUCAUUCGUGUUAUUCGUUUACGUUUAAUACGAAGUAAAAAAGAAAACUGAGGGCUCUGUGUGAGGAGCGUCGAAUAUUUGGCUCGUUCGGAGCAUGAUAUCGUUGAUUUUUAAUGGCACUUUGAGAUUCUAAGCGAAUGAAAACGAUCGAUUCGACUCGAUGUUUAUCGAUUAACUCCUUAAGCCUUAUUCUCGUUUCCUUUGCUUUUCCAUUAAAGCUCAAUCUGUUUUUUUUUUACGCAUCUAUUGAAGCUUCAAACACUUAGACAGUGCUUGUCCCUUUUAAAAAGGUGCUUUUAUUUCAUGGAUUGAAAAAUUUAUGCAUUUAUUUAUAUAAAUGAUGCACGCCAUGCAUUUGAAAGUUUAUCAAUAAUUUAAGUUUUUUCAGAAGGCAAGUCGAAGAUUCUAAAGAAUUUCUCGUACAAUACGCAUUCGAAAUUGCCACGAGUAAUCGUUACUGACAGAUUCAAGCAAUAGUCCUAUCGAUUAAGGUGUUAAUCCGGAUAGAGUUUCUACUGGAAAGAAAUUUUUCUUGAAUUCAUAAAUAAGUCGAUUAAAACUAUUUGAUAAAAUUACACAAUCAUUUUUCAAACAACGUAAUGUCGCCCAAUCGUGAUUAUUAUUUUCGAACCUUUUAUGAAACUAAAAUAUAGAUGUGCGACAAAACUUGCAGUAUUUUACUUUUGAUGGGUUUCCUUUGGCUGUCAUUCCAGGGGAAUCAGUUUCUAUAAAAAUUGCGUUGUCAACUGUUUCACAAAAAUUUUUAAUCUUCAGAAAUACUGUCAAAUUUUCGACGAAAUAUUUUCAAAUUCUCAAUCAUUUGAUAGAUGAACACGAGCGAAUAAUCAUAAUGAAAAGUGCGAUUUUUCUGAUAAUUUUAGAAAUUAUUUGGCUUUGAAGACUUGCAGCUCGAUACAGUAUAAACGUUUGUGCAACUAAAUGGCCGAUGUUUUUUUUUUUGCUUUUUUCGAAGCAACGAGCUAUAACUGAUGUAUGAAAACGAUUUUUAUCAAUCGUGCAUGUGAGUAUGAAAUUUUCAGAGGCAACUAUCGUUGAAUCGAUAAACGCUCAUUAAUGAGUUCUUGAAUUUUUGAAAUCGCACUGAUUCGUUUAAUUACUCACAGUUUCUUUUUAUUGUUAAAAUUUUUUUUUUCACUAAGCAUCGUCUCUUCACUAUAAAAAGUCAUUUCACUGAACUGUUGCAUAAUAAUUAAUGAAUUUUCAAAAAUUCAUCAAUCGGAUCAUUUUUGCUUGAGAUUCUUAAGCGCAAGGUGGUCCUUACAACAGAAGGAUUUUACCUUCGCGAUUGUUUUUCCUUCUUCUCUCUCCGUUUUUGCUUAACUCUACGUAUCAUAAGUACCGUGUGUAUAAUCUAUGAUUUGUUAAAAAAAAAAAACGUUUUGAAUG
Venturia canescens is the source of this 3248-nucleotide long non-coding RNA. RefSeq lists it as uncharacterized. Lineage: Eukaryota; Metazoa; Arthropoda; Insecta; Hymenoptera; Ichneumonidae. The record is from RefSeq and is a predicted model, not a curated record. The transcript has 3 exons.